Molecule: RNase P RNA, 347 nt
Filed under: Sinomicrobium oceani
Lineage: Bacteria; Pseudomonadati; Bacteroidota; Flavobacteriia; Flavobacteriales; Flavobacteriaceae
Description: Bacterial RNase P class A
Rfam family: Bacterial RNase P class A
About the family: Ribonuclease P (RNase P) is a ubiquitous endoribonuclease, found in archaea, bacteria and eukarya as well as chloroplasts and mitochondria. Its best characterised activity is the generation of mature 5'-ends of tRNAs by cleaving the 5'-leader elements of precursor-tRNAs.
Source: Rfam by way of RNAcentral
CCCGCAGGCCGUCUUAUCGCUCCUCAUCCCGGUAACUCCGGAAGAGGAGAGGAAAGUCCGGACACCACAGCGCAGCGUAGCGGGUAACACCCGUCAUCCGUUUCGGUUCGCCGUUGCGGAGAGGACCAGUGCAACAGAAAGGAUGUACAGGUAAUGCUGUAGUGAAAUCAGGUAAACUCUACGCGGUGCAACGCCAUGUAAACCGGUAUCUAAGGGUUGCGCGCCCGUUCCGUCCCGAUAUAUUCCGGACGGGUGCCGGAGGGUAGGCGGUUAGAGAUCCCGGGCAACCGGUAUCCCAGAUAAAUGAUAAGACUCGACAGAAUCCGGCUUACAGGCCUGCUUUUUUU